This 253-nucleotide ribosomal RNA is filed under the name uncultured bacterium. RNAcentral describes it as "partial 16S ribosomal RNA". It matches the Rfam family "Bacterial small subunit ribosomal RNA", at positions 524 to 776 of the family's 1533-position model. The record is from RNAcentral.
UACGUAGGGGGCAAGCGUUGUCCGGAAUUAUUGGGCGUAAAGAGCGCGUAGGCGGUCCGAUAAGUCGGCUGUGAAAGUCAAGGGCUCAACCCUUGAAAGCCGGCCGAUACUGUCGGACUAGAGUCCGGAAGAGGCGAGUGGAAUUCCCGGUGUAGCGGUGGAAUGCGCAGAUAUCAGGAGGAACACCAAUAGCGAAGGCAGCUCGCUGGGACGUUACUGACACUGAGGCGCGAAAGCGUGGGGAGCGAACAGG